Long non-coding RNA from Perca flavescens (yellow perch), 1002 nucleotides. RefSeq lists it as uncharacterized. NCBI's taxonomy places the organism in Eukaryota, Metazoa, Chordata, Actinopteri, Perciformes, Percidae. The record is from RefSeq and is a predicted model, not a curated record. The transcript is spliced from 3 exons.
UCAAACACACCUCAACAGGUGCAUGCUGGGUCUGUCAUGGGCUCAUGGCUAACAUGGUAAUGCUAACGAAGUUCAGUGCAGUGUGUGAGGACCGACUUUCUGCUGUUUUUGAAAAUAGCCUACUGGUUUAUACUGGGACCAGAGAGGCUGAGUGGACUGGUUAUAUUAUGCUUUGAAAAUGUACGAGCAGAGAAGUUGAAUAUAGAUAUUGCGGCGCCCAAGACUAGCAGAAUUGCAGAAUUACGUACAGCUCAAUCACCGUUUUACUCAUUCCAGAAACAUCCUCGAAGCCAGGAACACCCAGUGAAGAAGAGGGGGAUUUUAAAGCUCAUUUGUCUAGUUUCUGUCAGAAUGCAUCAUUCAACCCAGGGACCUUCCUACAAUCCCUGUCUUAUCUUCAGGCAAGAGGUGGACACAGCCAGGACGAUCAAUAUGCCACACUCUUCCAUGCUACUCCCAUCCUUUCUCUAAUGGUCUCAACAGCUUGCUCUGUUCUUUUUUCCUAAAUCUCUCUUUGCUAUUUCCCCCUUUUCUUAUCUGUAUUUUUCUAUGGGAAUCGUCAUUACUGCCAAGAGCCAGUUCGCCAUCUGCCGUGACUGAGUACGAGAUUCGCAAUUAGUGAGGAUAAUUUCCACCAAGUAUCUGAAUGGAGCAGCUCAGACCUUCACAGAUCGAUAGAGAGCGAAAGAGAAAAUAAACAGGCAUCGAUGUGGAGCCAGCCAACCAUAGUGACAGACAAAUGGGAAGGAGAUACGUUUGUCGGUGGGUUUGCAAGGCAGAGAACUGGCAAGACGAUCACAUUAAACAACCUUGACUGUGGAAAGAAACAUAGAGGCAGCUGUUUUACUCAAGUUUUCUUAAUGAAGUUAAAGGACCCUUCGUUAAUUUACCUGAUAUGUGAUGAGAGGCUCUACAAUCAUCUCUGUGUCUAAUAAAAACUGAGACAUUAAGAACUUGUAACAGCUGAGAAUGGAUUGUUAAUUAAAGGACCUGGGGUCUCAU